This 80-nucleotide small RNA is filed under the name Marmota monax (woodchuck). The record is from RNAcentral. Lineage: Eukaryota; Metazoa; Chordata; Mammalia; Rodentia; Sciuridae.
GCUGGGUGUGGUGGUGAAUGCCUGUAAUCCCAGCAGCUUGGGAGGCUGAGGUAGGAUUGUGAGUUUGAAGCCAGCCUCUG